Molecule: long non-coding RNA, 459 nt
Organism: Ictalurus punctatus (channel catfish)
Lineage: Eukaryota; Metazoa; Chordata; Actinopteri; Siluriformes; Ictaluridae
Source: Ensembl
CCAGCGAUCCACUUCAGUUUCCGGCCAACACGGGGGCGAAAUCCCCGAGAUGUAUGACCGAGGGCUGCGGGAGAGAGACUCAGCUUCAAUGUCCCACUUGCAGGAAGCUGGGCCUCCAGGAAGCUUUCUUCUGCUCUCAGGAAUGCUUCAAGAACAGCUGGCAGGAACAUAAGAAACUCCACCGGAGAGCCCGUGCAGAGACCCAGCCCGGGACCGACAGGGUGACCUCAGAGCUCGAACCUCAGCCCCACGACGUGGGCUCACCCGCCGAGCUCCAACAAAAGGUCCAAGUCCAAGUCAAGUCUCACGUCCCUGAGAUCCAAGUCAAGUCUCACGUCCCUGAGCUCCAGGUCCAGCCGCCAGCCCCUGAGCUCCAGGUCCAGCCUCCAGUCCCUGAGCUCCAGGUCCAGCCUCCAGUCCCUGAGCUCCAGGUCCAGCCUCCAGUCCCUGAGCUCCAAG